GAUGAACGCUGGCGGCGUGCCUAAUACAUGCAAGUCGAGCGAACGGACGAGAAGCUUGCUUCUCUGAUGUUAGCGGCGGACGGGUGAGUAACACGUGGAUAACCUACCUAUAAGACUGGGAUAACUUCGGGAAACCGGAGCUAAUACCGGAUGAUAUUUUGAACCGCAUGGUUCAAAAGUGAAAGACGGUCUUGCUGUCACUUAUAGAUGGAUCCGCGCUGCAUUAGUUAGUUGGUAAGGUAACGGCUUACCAUGGCAACGAUGCAUAGCCGACCUGAGAGGGUGAUCGGCCACACUGGAACUGAGACACGGUCCAGACUCCUACGGGAGGCAGCAGUAGGGAAUCUUCCGCAAUGGGCGAAAGCCUGACGGAGCAACGCCGCGUGAGUGAUGAAGGUCUUCGGAUCGUAAAACUCUGUUAUUAGGGAAGAACAUAUGUGUAAGUAACUGUGCACAUCUUGACGGUACCUAAUCAGAAAGCCACGGCUAACUACGUG
This 497-nucleotide ribosomal RNA is filed under the name uncultured bacterium. RNAcentral describes it as "partial 16S ribosomal RNA". It matches the Rfam family "Bacterial small subunit ribosomal RNA", at positions 28 to 507 of the family's 1533-position model. The record is from RNAcentral.